Molecule: ribosomal RNA, 106 nt
Filed under: Chinchilla lanigera (long-tailed chinchilla)
Lineage: Eukaryota; Metazoa; Chordata; Mammalia; Rodentia; Chinchillidae
Source: RNAcentral
AGUCUAGGCCAUACCACCCUGAACGCGCCCGAUCUUGUCUGAUCUUGGAAGCUAAGCAGGGUCAGGCCUGGAUAGCACUUGGAUGCGAGAAUUUAAAACGCUAUUU